RNAcentral lists this ribosomal RNA (392 nucleotides) under uncultured bacterium. RNAcentral describes it as "partial 16S ribosomal RNA". It matches the Rfam family "Bacterial small subunit ribosomal RNA", at positions 523 to 918 of the family's 1533-position model. The record is from RNAcentral.
AUACGGAGGAUCCGAGCGUUAUCCGGAUUUACUGGGUUUAAAGGGUGCGUAGGCGGCCAUUUAAGUCAGCGGUUAAAUCGUGGGGCUCAACCCCAUUCUGCCGUUGAUACUGGGUGGCUUGAUUGCGGUCGAGGUUGGCGGAAUUCGUUGUGUAGCGGUGAAAUGCAUAGAUAUGACGAAGAACACCGAUUGCGUAGGCAGCUGACCAGACCGCAAAUGACGCUCAUGCACGAAAGUGCGGGGAUCGAACAGGAUUAGAUACCCUGGUAGUCCGCACAGUAAACGAUGAAUACUUGUUUUCGGCGAUAUAAUGUCGGAGGCAAAGCGAAAGCGAUAAGUAUUCCACCUGGGGAGUACGCCGGCAACGGUGAAACUCAAAGGAAUUGACGGGG